GACGAACGCUGGCGGCGUGCUUAACACAUGCAAGUCGAACGGAAAGGCCUGCUUUCCCUUGUGGAUUGCGGGUACUCGAGUGGCGAACGGGUGAGUAACACGUGAGUGAUCUGCCCCCAACUUGGGUAUAAGCCUGGGAAACUGGGUCUAAUUCCCGAUAGGACUGCAGGGUGGUGCCUGUGGUGGAAAACGAUUUUCUAGUGGUUGGGGAUGAGCUCGCGGCCUAUCAGCUUGUUGGUGGGGUAAUGGCCUACCAAGGCGGCGACGGGUAGCCGGCCUGGGGGGGGUGACGGGCCAAAUGGGACUGGGGUACCGCCCAGAAUCCUACGGGAGGCAGCAGUGGGGAAUAUUACACAAUGGGCGGAAGCCUGAUGCAGCGACGCCGCGUGGGGGAUGACGGCCUUCGGGUUGUAAACUCCUUUCGACCGCGAGGAAGCCACCUGGUUGGAAGGGUGGUGACGGUAGUGGUAGAAGAAGCACCGGCUAACUACGUG
RNAcentral lists this ribosomal RNA (494 nucleotides) under uncultured bacterium. RNAcentral describes it as "partial 16S ribosomal RNA". It matches the Rfam family "Bacterial small subunit ribosomal RNA", at positions 28 to 507 of the family's 1533-position model. The record is from RNAcentral.